GAUGAACGCUAGCGGCAGGCUUAACAUCAUGCAAGGUCGAGGGGUAUAGUAGCAAUACUAGAGACCGGCGCACGGGUGCGUAACGCGUAUGCAAUCUACCUUUUGCAGAGGGAUAGCCCAGAGAAAUUUGGAUUAAUACCUCAUAGUAUAUAGAGUUGGCAUCAACACUAUAUUAAAGUCACAACGGCAAAAGAUGAGCAUGCGUCCCAUUAGCUAGUUGGUAAGGUAACGGCUUACCAAGGCAACGAUGGGUAGGGGUCCUGAGAGGGAGAUCCCCCACACUGGUACUGAGACACGGACCAGACUCCUACGGGAGGCAGCAGUGAGGAAUAUUGGACAAUGGGCGCAAGCCUGAUCCAGCCAUGCCGCGUGCAGGAUGACGGUCCUAUGGAUUGUAAACUGCUUUUAUACGAGAAGAAACACUCCUUCGUGAAGGAGCUUGACGGUAUCGUAAGAAUAAGGAUCGGCUAACUCCGUGCCAGCAGCCGCGGUAAUACGGAGGAUCCAAGCGUUAUCCGGAAUCAUUGGGUUUAAAGGGUCCGUAGGCGGAUUUGUAAGUCAGUGGUGAAAUCUCUCCGCUCAACGGGGAAACGGCCAUUGAUACUGCAAGUCUUGAAUUAUUAGGAAGUAACUAGAAUAUGUAGUGUAGCGGUGAAAUGCUUAGAGAUUACAUGGAAUACCAAUUGCGAAGGC
This 693-nucleotide ribosomal RNA is filed under the name Bacteroidota bacterium. Its description in RNAcentral is "bacterial SSU rRNA". It matches the Rfam family "Bacterial small subunit ribosomal RNA", at positions 28 to 722 of the family's 1533-position model. Lineage: Bacteria; Pseudomonadati; Bacteroidota. The record is from RNAcentral.